Molecule: long non-coding RNA, 2212 nt
Filed under: Eucalyptus grandis
Lineage: Eukaryota; Viridiplantae; Streptophyta; Magnoliopsida; Myrtales; Myrtaceae
Description: long non-coding RNA (EGRA_LNC006040)
Source: RNAcentral
GAGUUUUGAGUGAGUGGAGUAUGACAUCCAUCCAUGAGGUCAUGGUGGGCCACUUUUGUGGGAUUAAAGGAAAAAGGAAAAAAAAAGGGAAUGGUCCCAUCUCUCUCUCUCUCUCCAUCUUCAUCUUCAACCUUGGAACUUCUUGGACGUGGGGAGGGGAAAACCAAUCGAGAACCAGCAGCUCGCCAGCCCACACGCACGCCCCCUCCGCCACUCGCCGCCGCCGUUUGCACCGCCAAGCUGCUCGCCGUCCGCUCGCACCACCGGCCGCACCACCGUCGCCCUCUCUCCUCUCUUCUCCGGCUCCGGUUUCUGCUUGAAAACCCAGCAGAUCUGAGGAGGUGUCGAAGCUGGCUGUAGCCCAGCCGAAUCGCCGUCGGCCGUCGUCACUGAAGCUUGCCGCUACCACCGUCGUCCGCGCGAAGCCCGCGCCCGCGCGCCGCUCCGCUCGCUUCGCCCAGCUCGUCGUCCCGAGCUGCUGUUCAGCUCGCGCAAGAGCUGCCGAAGCUCGUUCGUCGCCGCCGUGCACCGCCGUUCGUCGCCGCCAGCCACCGCCAGCCACCGCCGUAGCUCCUCCGCCCACUCCCGACCCCAACCAGCCCCGGAUCUGCCCUCCUUCGCCCCCAACCAGCAGCAAGCAGAGAAGAAGAAAAUGGGUAUGGCAAGACCUAUUUGGCCGGUUUUGGCCGCCUUCCCGAGCCCGGAUGCUCGGCCCGCUUUGAGGAAAGUCGAUCCUCGCGUCGAUCCCGUCGUUUUGAUCCGCUCGGCUCGCUAAUCUGGUGAGUUUAGCUCACUAAAUCUUGAUUAGACGGUUAAUUAUGCCCUAAGUGUGCUUAGUUUAAGUUAAGCAAGUUUAGGUGGAUAUUUUAGUUUAUUUAAUUGUGAUUUGGAUUAAAAGGUUUGUUUAAUUUAAAGUGUGUUUAAUUAAAGGUUAAGAGAGUUUAUUUAAUAAUAAACCUUGAUGGGACAUAAUAGGGUUUUAUUUUUGAAUUAUUUAAUUGAAAUUAUUAAAAUAUUAUUAUUUAAAAAAAAAGGAAAAAUUAUUUUUGAUCCCGAUUGCUCAGAAUUUCGUGCCGAUCGCUGCUAUGCGUUCAGAUUUUGAAAUUGAUGGUUAGAUAUUAUAAAUUGGGUGUGGAUGACGAAAAUAUGGAUAUUAUUAUUUAAUUAAUUUUCGAAAUAAAUUUAAUUAUUUAUUAAAAUUCGAAAAUUUCGUCGGGACCCUAAACUCUCAGAAUUUCGUGCCGAUCGCUGCUGUGUAUUUAGAAUUUGAAUUUGAUGAUUGAUUGUGGCAAAUUGAGUGUGAUUGCGAUAGAUAGGGAUUCUUUAUAAAAUCCAAGUGUCGAAAUUGAUGGGAGGUUGGCCGUGAUGAACCACCUAUUAGAGGUCGUGCCCAGUGAGGCCGUGAUGAACCACCUAUGAGAUGUCGUGCCUAGUGAGGCCGUGAUGAACCACCUAUUAGAGGUCGUGCCCAGUGAGGCCGUGAUGAACCACCUAUGAGAGGUCGUGCCUAAUAGGGCCGUGAUGGACCACCUAUUAGAGGUCGUGCCCAGUGAGGCCUUGAUUAACCACCUAUUAGAGAUCGUGCUCAGUGAGGCCGUGAUGUACCACCUAGGAGAGGUCGUGCCCAGUGAGGCCGUGAUGGGGGCACCUAAUUAAAGGUCGUGCCGAGGGGGGCCGUGAUUGCCACUGGUUGUUAAACCUUCCUAUAGGGCCGUAAUUGAGAGCGAUGAUUGAUUUGCUAGAAUGACAUGUAAUCGGCCAAGUCGAUUGAUCGCUGAGACGAUCCAAGUGGUUGAAUUAUUCUGAUGAUGUGAUUGUGCCAUGGUUGUUUGGCUAUCAUAAUUGCACGUAGUUGAAUUAUAUAAAUUGUGUUAACCUGCAGAUGAAGGCUAAUGCGAGGUAAGUCUUCUGUGUGAUGUGGCUAGGCCACCCAGGGCGUAUUUUCUUUCUAAUAGGGGUUUAGGGGGUUUAACUUGCUGAAACAUCGUCUCAUCCCAGUUGUGGGAUUAAAAUUUCAGGUCCCUGGUGAACGGAGCGACCAGAUAGCUUUGGUUUGCCUUGAGGAGUUGCAGAGGUGAAGUCAUAAGAUUGGAGAAUGUGUCCGACUUGUAGGUCGUAGGACAAUUCCUUUUUAAGAGCCGGUCCUUUGUAGACUUUUAGCCGUAGACUUCUGUUUGUAAUUCUAUUGAAUUAUGAAAGUGUUAUGUUAUGG